UACGGAGGGCGCGAGCGUUACCCGGGUUUACUGGGCGUAAAGGGCGUGUAGGUGGCCUGGGGCGUCCCAUGUGAAAGGCCACGGCUCAACCGUGGAGGAGCGUGGGAUACGCUCAGGCUAGACGGUGGGAGAGGGUGGUGGAAUUCCCGGAGUAGCGGUGAAAUGUGCAGAUACCGGGAGGAACGCCGAUGGCGAAGGCAGCCACCGGGCCCACAUGUGACGCUGAGGCGCGAAAGCGUGGGGAGCAAACCGG
This 253-nucleotide ribosomal RNA is filed under the name uncultured bacterium. RNAcentral describes it as "partial 16S ribosomal RNA". It matches the Rfam family "Bacterial small subunit ribosomal RNA", at positions 524 to 776 of the family's 1533-position model. The record is from RNAcentral.